AACGAACGCUGGCGGCAUGCCUAACACAUGCAAGUCGAACGAUGCCUUCGGGCAUAGUGGCGCACGGGUGCGUAACGCGUGGGAAUCUGCCCUUCGGUUCGGAACAACAGUUAGAAAUGACUGCUAAUACCGGAUAAUGACGUAAGUCCAAAGAUUUAUCGCCGAAGGAUGAGCCCGCGUAGGAUUAGCUUGUUGGUGGGGUAAUGGCCCACCAAGGCGACGAUCCUUAGCUGGUCUGAGAGGAUGAUCAGCCACACUGGGACUGAGACACGGCCCA
Molecule: ribosomal RNA, 277 nt
Filed under: uncultured bacterium
Lineage: Bacteria
Description: partial 16S ribosomal RNA
Rfam family: Bacterial small subunit ribosomal RNA
Source: RNAcentral